RNAcentral lists this long non-coding RNA (209 nucleotides) under Elaeis guineensis (African oil palm). RNAcentral's name for it is "long non-coding RNA (EGUI_LNC081766)". The record is from RNAcentral. Lineage: Eukaryota; Viridiplantae; Streptophyta; Magnoliopsida; Arecales; Arecaceae.
UUCUCUUGGCAGAGCUCGAACCCCUUGAUGAACGCCUCCUGGCCGAAUUGGACAUUCAGGUCCCUCAUCUCCGUGGAGGUCUUGAAUUCCUCUACCAUAAGGACCCUGGCCUCUGAGACCAGGACUGGAAUCUGCUCAGCCAAGUUGGCGACCUCGGCCUCCGCCUUUCUCGCUGUCUCCUCCAAGGUCUGCUUCUCCUCCUCCCGGGC